This 75-nucleotide transfer RNA is filed under the name Candidatus Bathyarchaeota archaeon. Its description in RNAcentral is "tRNA-Arg". It matches the Rfam family "tRNA". Rfam says of the family: Transfer RNA (tRNA) molecules are approximately 80 nucleotides in length. Their secondary structure includes four short double-helical elements and three loops (D, anti-codon, and T loops). RNAcentral also lists the same sequence under 4 other names. Lineage: Archaea; Thermoproteati; Candidatus Bathyarchaeota. The record is from RNAcentral.
GGGCCCGUCGUCUAGCUUGGAUAGGACGCCAGCCUGCGGAGCUGGAGGUCCGGGGUUCAAGUCCCCGCGGGCCCG